GUUGGCUUAGAAGCAGCCAUCAUUUAAAGAAAGCGUAAUAGCUCACUGGUCGAGUCGGCCUGCGCGGAAGAUGUAACGGGGCUAAACCAUGCACCGAAGCUGCGGCAGCGAACGUAUCACCCAAGACAACUUUACGGAGUUGACGAUUGACGGAGCGAAGCGACGUCAAAGCGUUCAUUAAAGUCGAGUUGGCUUAGGGAUACGUUCGUUGGGUAGGGGAGCGUUCUGUAAGCCUGUGAAGGUGGCCUGUGAGGGUUGCUGGAGGUAUCAGAAGUGCGAAUGCUGACAUAAGUAACGAUAAAGCGGGUGAAAAGCCCG
Molecule: ribosomal RNA, 318 nt
Filed under: Salmonella enterica
Lineage: Bacteria; Pseudomonadati; Pseudomonadota; Gammaproteobacteria; Enterobacterales; Enterobacteriaceae
Also listed under: 2 other names
Description: partial 23S ribosomal RNA
Rfam family: Bacterial large subunit ribosomal RNA
Source: RNAcentral